AUACGUAGGUGGCAAGCGUUGUCCGGAAUUAUUGGGCGUAAAGCGCGCGCAGGCGGUCCUUUAAGUCUGAUGUGAAAGCCCACGGCUCAACCGUGGAGGGUCAUUGGAAACUGGGGGACUUGAGUGCAGAAGAGGAAAGUGGAAUUCCAAGUGUAGCGGUGAAAUGCGUAGAGAUUUGGAGGAACACCAGUGGCGAAGGCGACUUUCUGGGCUGUAACUGACGCUGAGGCGCGAAAGCGUGGGGAGCAAACAGGAUUAGAUACCCUGGUAGUCCACGCCGUAAACGAUGAGUGCUAAGUGUUAGGGGGUUUCCGCCCCUUAGUGCUGCAGCUAACGCAUUAAGCACUCCGCCUGGGGAGUACGGUCGCAAGACUGAAACUCAAAGGAAUUGACGGGG
This 397-nucleotide ribosomal RNA is filed under the name uncultured bacterium. RNAcentral describes it as "partial 16S ribosomal RNA". It matches the Rfam family "Bacterial small subunit ribosomal RNA", at positions 523 to 918 of the family's 1533-position model. The record is from RNAcentral.